Long non-coding RNA from Triticum aestivum (bread wheat), 570 nucleotides. RefSeq lists it as uncharacterized. Lineage: Eukaryota; Viridiplantae; Streptophyta; Magnoliopsida; Poales; Poaceae. The record is from RefSeq and is a predicted model, not a curated record. The transcript is spliced from 3 exons.
CCCCUCCCCCAAGCUCCACCCCGACAUCCACCCAUCCUCGCACUCCGCCCCCUCUCCUCGAGAUCCCUCCCGAGAUCGAGCCGCCGUCCUCGCACUCCACAAUCCAACAACCGUCCUUGUGUCCCCCUGACAUCCAGCCUCGUCCUCGCAAAUCUCCGUCCCUGCUACCGCCGAGGCUCCAUCGUCGUGCUCCCGCUGCUUUCAGAUUUGCUGCUAUCGGGGCUCCGUCGCCGGCCUCCCGCUGCUGCUGGACAUGCCGAUACCAUGGACCCAUCUCCAGGCUCAUUACGCUGCUGCCGGACCUGCUGCCGAGACUCCAUCUCCUUCGAGUUGCGUCCCUACCGAAGCCAGCCGUCCCCGUGCCUUGAGAUACUUGACAAAUUUGAUAUUAAGGGUGCAUCAUGGACAAAACGUGGUUGUCUAAGCCUAGAUGAGUCGACAAUGAAGCUCGGGGCGUGAUAUGGCGCUCGGUGUAGGUGGCCAUGGUGGACCUGAAGCUAGCUGAGAUAAGCGACGGGAUCAAUGUUGUGCUCCUCCCGUUCUCAUUAACCAAAUAGUGCAGAGUGUGGC